GAGACAGAGUCUUGCUAUGUAGUCCUGGCUGGCUUGGUACUCACUACAUAGCCCAAAGAGGCCUCAAAAUAAUGGCAAUCCUUCUGCCUCAGACUC
RNAcentral lists this microRNA precursor (96 nucleotides) under Mesocricetus auratus (golden hamster). RNAcentral describes it as "miRNA (ENSMAUG00000002821.1)". Lineage: Eukaryota; Metazoa; Chordata; Mammalia; Rodentia; Cricetidae. The record is from RNAcentral.